Molecule: small RNA, 1438 nt
Filed under: Pan troglodytes (chimpanzee)
Lineage: Eukaryota; Metazoa; Chordata; Mammalia; Primates; Hominidae
Description: retained intron
Source: RNAcentral
AGUCUCGCGCCUGCAGCCCGUGCCGCCCCAGCCGCUGCCGCCUGCACCGGACCCGGAGCCGCCAUGCCCAAGUGUCCCAAGUGCAACAAGGAGGUGUACUUCGGUGAGCGCGCCCACACCGGCCCCGCGAGGAGGCGCCGCCGACGGGGCGACGAGGCUGGGGACCGCUCAGGAGGACCGGGGGCGCUGGGUCCCUGGGGCGGCGCCCCAGCCUGAAGACGCCUCAGCCUGGCCCGCCGCCCGCCCCGGGAUGAGGGUGGAGGCCCCUGCGUCCGAGGGCCCUGGCGAUCUCUGCCUGCUAAUGGUCUUGCUGUGCUCGGCGGGCUACCUCUGGCUCUGAGCCUCCCCGUCUCUGGGUCCUACGGUCUCUGCCGUCUCCUCUCGGGCGCGCCCUGGGUGGGGGACCCGCAGGGCUGGAAGGAACGCGGGGCUGGGGCCGCGCCUCCCAGCGCUAAGUAGAAACAGACGCGGAAACCGACGCCCGGGGCGCGAUCCCGGGCGCCCGCCUUCCUGCCCCGCGCGCGCGCGCCCCGAGGGGAGGGAGGAAGUGGGAAGUCACCCCUGUCCCCGCCGAGAAGGGCUGUCGCAGGCUCCACCCUUGCCACCGCAGAGGCCCGGGGCUGAAAGCAGGCAGCCAGGCCCAGGCCCUGCUGACCUAAGCCGCGACCCCUGACCCUCGGCCUCGCCCUCUAGCCCCACCCAGCCCUCAGGAGCAAGAUUCCCGGCCGCACCCGAAAGUGCCCCGGGGACCAGCGACCCUGCGCUUUGUUUAGUUGUAUUGGCUCUGGGGAUUGGAGAUGUCCCCCUCAUGGGGGGUGCUGAGACCUUAGGGUGGGCUGCCAGGCUGGGCGGAUGCGGCCUAAGUGCACAAGGCCUUGGGCAGAGCUGGCUGCAAGAGGUGGGUACGCCAGUGGUGGGCAGGCGCCGAGUCCUGCAGCGUCUCACCGGGGCCUGUCUGUGCCUCUGCAGCCGAGAGGGUGACCUCUCUGGGCAAGGACUGGCAUCGGCCCUGCCUGAAGUGCGAGAAAUGUGGGAAGACGCUGACCUCUGGGGGCCACGCUGAGGUAGGUGGGACCCACCCUGGUGGCAGGGGCCAGGGGUGACGGCACCCCCUCACGGCCCUUCUCUUUGCAGCACGAAGGCAAACCCUACUGCAACCACCCCUGCUACGCAGCCAUGUUUGGGCCUAAAGGUAUGCUCCCGUCGUCCCCACCCCACCCCACAGCCUCCUCCACCCCAGCCUGUUGACUUUUUCCACCUUCUCUGCAGGCUUUGGGCGGGGUGGAGCCGAGAGCCACACUUUCAAGUAAACCAGGUGGUGGAGACCCCAUCCUUGGCUGCUUGCAGGGCCACUGUCCAGGCAAAUGCCAGGCCUUGCCCCCAGAUGCCCAGGGCUCCCUUGUUGCCCCUAAUGCUCUCAGUAAACCUGAACACUUGG